This 74-nucleotide transfer RNA is filed under the name Fasciola gigantica. RNAcentral's name for it is "tRNA-Thr". The record is from RNAcentral. Lineage: Eukaryota; Metazoa; Platyhelminthes; Trematoda; Plagiorchiida; Fasciolidae.
ACCGCGAUAGCUCAGCUGGCUAGAGCAUCUGUCCGGUAUGCUGAGGGUCGCCGGUUCGUUUCCGGCUCGCGCGU